The sequence is a transfer RNA, 92 nucleotides long. It matches the Rfam family "tRNA". Rfam says of the family: Transfer RNA (tRNA) molecules are approximately 80 nucleotides in length. Their secondary structure includes four short double-helical elements and three loops (D, anti-codon, and T loops). The record is from Rfam.
GCCGGCGUGGCGCAAUGGUAGCGCGCCAGACUUCUAGCAUUUAUGCAAACUGAGAUAUCUGGAGGCUGCGGGUUCGAGCCCCGCCGUUGGUA